AAUAGAUACCCCGGUAGUCCACGCCGUAAACGAUGAGUGCUAAGUGUUAGAGGGUUUCCGCCCUUUAGUGCUGCAGCUAACGCAUUAAGCACUCCGCCUGGGGAGUACGGCCGCAAGGCUGAAACUCAAAGGGAUUGACGGGGGCCCGCACAAGCGGUGGAGCAUGUGGUUUAAUUCGAAGCAACGCGAAGAACCUUACCAGGUCUUGACAUCCUCUGCCAACCCUAGAGAUAGGGCGUUCCCCUUCGGGGGACAGAGUGACAGGUGGUGCAUGGUUGUCGUCAGCUCGUGUCGUGAGAUGUUGGGUUAAGUCCCGCAACGAGCGCAACCCUUGAUCUUAGUUGCCAGCAUUCAGUUGGGCACUCUAAGGUGACUGCCGGUGACAAACCGGAGGAAGGUGGGGAUGACGUCAAAUCAUCAUGCCCCUUAUGACCUGGGCUACACACGUGCUACAAUGGAUGGUACAAAGAGCUGCGAACCCGCGAGGGUAAGCGAAUCUCAUAAAGCCAUUCUCAGUUCGGAUUGUAGG
Molecule: ribosomal RNA, 529 nt
Filed under: uncultured bacterium
Lineage: Bacteria
Description: bacterial SSU rRNA
Rfam family: Bacterial small subunit ribosomal RNA
Source: RNAcentral